CCUGAAGCAAAGGCGAGCCAUGUUCUAGAGCAAUGUCUUUCUUGUAUUAAAAUACGGCCCCAUGCUCACAUAUAGGCUGUUUUGUGUUUUGCUUUUCUGUUGAUGCACAAAGGAAUCCUUGAUAUGUUUGUCCUCAAAGACCAAAGACAAGUAUCUAGUAAAAAAUGCAAAUCAUAUCUAACAGUGAAGCUUUCCAGCAAAAACCUUCUGCUCUAGAAUGCAUAAUUAUGCGAGCAUAAGAUCUACUACUCUAGACUUUUAGCAUAAUUACCUAUAGGCAGCAAAACCCUAGUCAAUUGAGUGUCUGGUGCCUCUUGGACCUGGACUUCUCCAAGAGAAUGGGCAAGGAGGACGAAAAGGAAGAGACAGCUAUGCUUUGUGAAACAGGAGGUGACUUAAAAAAAAAAUUCUAUAGCAGUCUUCUUAAUUCCUGUUACAGACUUGAUACGCUUAUCUGCUGUUGAGGACACGGUUGCCAGUUUCUAACCUUCUCUGUCUGCCUGAAAAACUAGAAAUUAGAUGAUCAUAUGGCCUAGAGCCAGAAGUGCAGGAGGCAGAAAGCCAGGGGCCAGUUUUUUUCUUUUUGUUUCUGAAUAAGAAGGCCAAAUCCUGACUUAAAAUAAUCAAAAUAAAUUUUACGGAGUGACGGUCUUUCCAGCUGAAAACCUUAAAACAUGGCAUCUGGAAGAAGGCCUUAGUCUAUUGCUCCCAGGAUGGUACUAUAUAGUCAUUAAAUAGCCCACAGAUAAGGGAGUUAUUGCCCCCUCGUUAUUGGGCUGCCAGGAAUUAAAUGAUGGAACUAAGUUUCACUUGAAACAUUCCCAAAUUAAAACAAAAACAAGCCUUGCUUUGAGCUGUUGAAAAGGCAUUUUACUGAGAAGAUCCAGAUGCUAUUGCUGUUCUUAAAUGAUGUUGAAAGGCAAAGGGUCAGGACUUUCAAAAAGUCACUUUGAGGUCACCUCACAUAAGCAAGCAACAGUUUGAACUGAUGCAAAAACAAACAAUGAAAUUAUGAACAGGAGGAAGAAACUAAAAUGAGGGCAGUAUAUGCCAUAAAUAUGGAAGAGGCUGUCUCUUAUUUAUCUUCUCAUUUCCUGUACAUAAUACAGAAACCUGGUAUGUAAUAGGCAUACAAUUAUUUGUGGCUCAACUGAAUAAACGAAGAUGGAAACCAGCAAGCAGCGGGCAGAUAAUAUACUUGGGAAAGGAGAACUGCAGAGACGCUGGGUGGUUCAAGGCUUCUGCAUGAUCCUCAAAUGUCACCCCAAUCUGCUGUGACAUAGCUAUACCACUCAUCAGAAUACCCCAAAACAAAUUGUCUGCCUCCCUUAUGUACAACUUUUAUUAUUUCUUAUCUCGGUUGGUUAAGAAUAUGUAGUAAUGGCCGGGCGCGGUGGCUCACGCCUGUAAUCCCAGCACUUUGGGAGGCCGAGGCAGGAGGAUCACCUGAGGUCAGGAGUUCGAGACCAGCCUCAACAUGGAGAAACCCCGUCUCUACUAAAAAUACAAAAUUAGCCGGGCGUGGUGGUGCAUACCUGUAAUUCCAGCUACUCGGGAGGCUGAGGCAGGAGAAUUGCUUGAACCUGGGAGGCAGAGUUUGCGGUGAGCUGAGAUCGCGCCAUUGCACUCCAUCCAGCCUGGGCAACAAGAGCGAAACUCCAUCUCAAAAAAAAAAAAAAAAAAAAAAGAAUAUGUAGUAAUGGUUAAGAGUCCACUGUGGAAUCAGCCUGCAUAGGUCCAAAUCCCAGCCCUGACUGAAUACCUGUGAACAAGUUAUAUCAGUGACUCAGGCUUAUUAUCUGUAAAAUGGGGAUUAUAGCAUUCCUGCCUCAUAGGGAUGUUAUGAGAUUUAAAUACCAAUAAGUCUGUACAUUAUAAACCUUAUCAGAUUGGUGUGGUGAAAAUGCUCAGUAACUGAGCCUCGUGAGCAUUAGAAUGUUGAGAUCAGCAUGAAGUUAGCCUGUAUACUGGGCAUACACAUUCUUCUGGAUUUGCUCCUUUUGUGAGCAAUCAAUGAUGAGCUAAAGGCAUUUGCUAACUAGUAGGAAUGAAAUAAGGUUUCAGACAGGAUCUUGGUGGGUGAUGUAGAUUUUAUCUGUCCCAUUUGUCCCAUUUCUCAACUGGAAGUGAGUCUGGCCUUGGUCUGCAUCUGUGCUCUCCCCUUCACAAAAGGCAGGCCCAGAGAGACUCCAGAGAUGGCCCCUGUCUCCUGUGUGUCCUCCGCCGCUGUGUCCACUUGGGCACGUCAAAGGAGGCCUUGAUGUGCAGACGCGAUGGGGCAACGAUGAGACCGAAUAAACAAUUGACAUCUAACCCCAGAAGAAGAGCAAGGACCUGGGACCCAGAAGGAAGAGGCUGUGAGAGGUACAAACUGCAGGCAUGGACAUGAUGCAUAUAGAGGACAGCCACACUAAGCUUUGAGGCUUCUGGAGGCAACACAGAGUAACCAUUUGAAUGGAAAUCACUGAACAGACACAGAGAAAGAGAAACCAUCCAAUGACUUGAGGGUGACACCAAGUUUGCCUGGUGGCCUCAGGACUCCUGGCUCACUGGUCCCACUGUCUCCCCCCGCCCAUCAGAAUACAUGAAGGCUGGUGGGGCACGGUGGCCCAUGUCUGUAAUCCCAACACUUUGGGAGGCCAAGGCGGGCAGAUCACCUGAGUUCGAGACCAGCCUGGCCAACAUGGUGAAACCUCGGCUCUACUAAAAAUACAAAAUUAGCUGAGUGUGGUGGCACAUGCCUGUAAUCCCAGCUACUCGGGAGGCUGAGGCAGGAGAAUCACUUGAACCCAGGAGGCUGAGGUUGCAGUGAGCUGGGAUCAUGCCACUGCACUCCAGCCUGGCGACAGAGUGAGACUCCAUCUCCAAAAAAAAAAAAAAAAAAAAUACGUGAAGGCUUUCCUACCACACCAUGCAUGUGGGACACGUCAGAGUGGGAAGCUCCAUGGAUCUACAGCAAGGCUGUUCGACUAAGAGUGAAUAAAUGGGUGAAUUCCAUGGGCUGAACAUGUCAGGAAUAUUUUCUUCUUAGGGCAGCGAUCUUAACUUCUGGAGAAAUUGAGUUCCUAAGCUGUAGAGCCUUAGAACCCUGGCAUACAUUUCUGUGGAGAAACAGAAAGCCCAGACAUCCCAGUCCACACACGUCUUUCUUCUGACCAACACCAGCCAUAGGAAGCAAGGCCCGGGAGAGCACUGGGGACAGGGCAUGUCCGCCCGGAGCAGGGCAGGAGAGCACAGGCAUGUGAUGCAGCCCUGGGUCUGUCGUCCCGUUUGCGCCGGGAAUGAAUCGGGUUUUUCUAGCCUCUAAGCACAGAGGUAUUUUUGACUCAGCACCGUGAAGAGACGACAAUAGCUCAGCUUCUGCCAGCUGCCCGAUUUAGACACGAGACCUUCACUACAUAUUUCUGUCUCUUGCCCUACUCAGAAGAAGGACUUAAAAAUCCCCCAAGACGGAACUGAGUUUUCCUCUGUUCAUUUUUUUAAAUUACACUACUUGAAGAACCCCAAACAAAUAAGGCUCUGGGCCUCCAAGACCAUGUAAUCCAUUGUGCUCGUGUGGAAGAGCUGCCCCCAGUAGAGGCAACAGGAAUGGCCUGGUCACUCAGCAGGUCCCCUGCCCAUCUUCCCACCACCCCUUGCCCCACCCACCGGGAAGGAGGAGGGAGCACAGGCUGCUUUGAGCAGUCAUCGUGCCUCUACCUGGAGCCUGUACUCACUGUCUUGGGGGCCGGUAUUUCCCAGGAGGGCUAUUGUGUGUUUCCUUGUCUGUUUCUCUUUCUGGAAUGCGAGCUGUUUCAAAAUGAACUGAAGAUCAUUCACCUCCACCCCUCAGCUCUCAGCAUAGAGGUGUGCACAGAGUACAUGCUCAGUAAAUGUUUAACAGAUAUA
Long non-coding RNA from Homo sapiens (human), 3888 nucleotides. RefSeq lists it as uncharacterized. The record is from RefSeq and is a predicted model, not a curated record. Lineage: Eukaryota; Metazoa; Chordata; Mammalia; Primates; Hominidae. The transcript has 2 exons.